This 582-nucleotide ribosomal RNA is filed under the name uncultured bacterium. Its description in RNAcentral is "bacterial SSU rRNA". It matches the Rfam family "Bacterial small subunit ribosomal RNA", at positions 331 to 930 of the family's 1533-position model. The record is from RNAcentral.
CCAGACUCCUACGGGAGGCAGCAGUGGGGAAUAUUGGACAAUGGACCGAGAGUCUGAUCCAGCAAUUCUGUGUGCACGAUGAAGUUUUUCGGAAUGUAAAGUGCUUUCAGUUGGGAAGAAAUAAAUGACGGUACCAACAGAAGAAGUGACGGCUAAAUACGUGCCAGCAGCCGCGGUAAUACGUAUGUCACGAGCGUUAUCCGGAUUUAUUGGGCGUAAAGCGCGUCUAGGUGGUUAUGUAAGUCUGAUGUGAAAAUGCAGGGCUCAACUCUGUAUUGCGUUGGAAACUGUAUAACUAGAGUACUGGAGAGGUAAGCGGAACUACAAGUGUAGAGGUGAAAUUCGUAGAUAUUUGUAGGAAUGCCGAUGGGGAAGCCAGCUUACUGGACAGAUACUGACGCUAAAGCGCGAAAGCGUGGGUAGCAAACAGGAUUAGAUACCCUGGUAGUCCACGCUGUAAACGAUGAUUACUAGGUGUUGGGGGUCGAACCUCAGCGCCCAAGCAAACGCGAUAAGUAAUCCGCCUGGGGAGUACGUACGCAAGUAUGAAACUCAAAGGAAUUGACGGGGGCCCGCACAAGA